GAUGAACGCUGGCGGCGUGCCUAAUACAUGCAAGUCGAGCGAACAGACGAGGAGCUUGCUCCGCUGACGUUAGCGGCGGACGGGUGAGUAACACGUGGAUAACCUACCUAUAAGACUGGGAUAACUUCGGGAAACCGGAGCUAAUACCGGAUAAGAUAUUGAACCGCAUGGUUCAAUAGUGAAAGACGGUUGUGCGGUCACUUAUAGAUGGAUCCGCGCUGCAUUAGCUAGUUGGUAAGGUAACGGCUUACCAAGGCAACGAUGCGUAGCCGACCUCAGAGGCUGAUAGCCCACCCUGGAGGUUGGCCGGGCUCCUGGCUCCUACGGGAGGCACCAGUAGGCAAUCUUCCGCAACAGUCGAGAGCCUUGCGGAACAGCCCCGCGCGUGUUAUGACGGUCUUCCGAUCGUAAUGACCUGUUUUUGGUUAUAAACCAAUGUGUACGUAACUAUGCACUUCUUGACGGUACCUGGUCAGAAAGCCCCGGCUAACUACGUG
Molecule: ribosomal RNA, 497 nt
Filed under: uncultured bacterium
Lineage: Bacteria
Description: partial 16S ribosomal RNA
Rfam family: Bacterial small subunit ribosomal RNA
Source: RNAcentral